UACGUAGGGGGCAAGCGUUGUCCGGAUUUAUUGGGCGUAAAGAGCGUGUAGGCGGUUUGGUAGGUCCGCUGUGAAAACUCGAGCUCAACCUCGAGACGCCGGUGGAAACCAUCAGACUAGAGUCCGGAAGAGGAGAGUGGAAUUCCUGGUGUAGCGGUGAAAUGCGCAGAUAUCAGGAAGAACACCCGUGGCUAAGGCGGCUCUCUAGUACGGUACUGGACGCUGAGACGCGAAAGCCGUGGGGAG
RNAcentral lists this ribosomal RNA (246 nucleotides) under uncultured bacterium. Its description in RNAcentral is "partial 16S ribosomal RNA". It matches the Rfam family "Bacterial small subunit ribosomal RNA", at positions 524 to 768 of the family's 1533-position model. The record is from RNAcentral.